GCCUGGUUUAUCAGAAUAUAAUAAUAAUUGGUUUCGUUUACAUUGAAGUUUGUCUUGUGAAAAUCAAGAUGUUCUGAAUAUAAUUAUUUAGUGUUUUUCUUAUGUUUAUUUACAGUUUUAUUUUAAAUAUAUUUUAUGUGAUUUGUUUUAGUAAAGAGAUUUGAAUGGAUAGGUUUAGUUAUAGUUAAUUUUUAAUGUAAAUGUUUAUUUAUUAUAUAGUUUAAGAAUUCUUUGAUUGGAGUACCUUUUGUAUCAGGGUUUAUUAAAUAAUGUUUCAUUAUAGAUUAUUCUCGAAUUAAAAAGAGUUAUUUUAUUAUGGGAUUUAAUGUGACAUAAUUAUUCUUAAUUUUAAAAUGGUGGAGAUAUUCUAUGCGAUUUUUAAUAUAUCUAGUUUCUUAAGAUAAAAUUAAAUUUUACUGGGAUUUUCAAUUUGGGGUUUAAGUUCUUUUUUUUGUUAAUUUUGUUUUAUUUUUUAGGGGUUAAGCUCUAGAAAUUAUUAUAAUUGGGUAUUAAUCACUGUGUUAUAGGCUUGUAAUCAGCUAUUAUUGAUAAGUUCGUUAUAGUUUAAUUGUUUGAUUUAUUAUUUUUUUUUAUUUAAUUAAUUUAUUAGGAUAUUGUCUUUAAUUUUGUUUGUUAAUUAAUAAUGAUUGAAUUAGUAUAUUUUAUUGUAGGCAUUUAAGGUUUUGGUAGAUUAUUUUAAGGAACUCGGCAAUAUAGGUAUUUCCGCCUGUUUAUCAAAAACAUCUCCUUUAGUUAUUUAUUUAAGGUAGGGCCUGCUCACUGAAUUGAUUGAAGAGCCGCGGUAUAUUGACCGUGCAAAGGUAGCAUAAUCAUUAGUGCAUUAAUUGUGUACUGGUAUGAAGGGUUUGAUCGAGAAAUACACUGUCUCUGUUUAAAAUGUAGAAUUUUACUUUUUAGUUAAAAGGCUGCGAUUAAUUUUUUGGACGAUAAGACCCUAUAGAGUUUAACUUAUUUAUUGUGAUGGUUUGGGUUAAUUUAUUUUAUUAAUUAGAUAUUAAGUUUUGUUGGGGUGAUGUGAGUAAUAAUUAAACUAUUCAUUUAUUAAUUUCAUUGAUUUAUGUAGUUAUUGAUCCUUUAUUAAUGAUUGUAAGAUAAAAUUACCUUAGGGAUAACAGCGCAAUUAUUUUUGAGAGUUCAUAUUGACAAGAUAGAUUGUGACCUCGAUGUUGGAUUAAGAUUAAUAAUUAGGUGCAGCAGCUUAA
RNAcentral lists this ribosomal RNA (1223 nucleotides) under Deltonotus hainanensis. RNAcentral describes it as "partial large subunit ribosomal RNA". Lineage: Eukaryota; Metazoa; Arthropoda; Insecta; Orthoptera; Tetrigidae. The record is from RNAcentral.